AUUGAACGCUGGCGGCAUGCCUUACACAUGCAAGUCGAACGGCAGCACGGACUUCGGUCUGGUGGCGAGUGGCGAACGGGUGAGUAAUAUAUCGGAACAUACCUUGUAGUGGGGGAUAACUAUCCGAAAGGAUAGCUAAUACCGCAUACGCUCUAAGGAGGAAAGUGGGGGAUCGCAAGACCUCAUGCUACACGAGUGGCCGAUAUCUGAUUAGCUAGUUGGUGAGGUAAAGGCUCACCAAGGCGACGAUCAGUAGCUGGUCUGAGAGGACGACCAUCCACACUGGAACUGAGACACGGUCCAGACUCCUACGGGAGGCAGCAGUGGGGAAUUUUGGACAAUGGGGGCAACCCUGAUCCAGCAAUGCCGCGUGAGUGAAGAAGGCCUUCGGGUUGUAAAGCUCUUUUGUCAGGGAAGAAACGGUUGUGGCUAAUAUCCAUGGCUAAUGACGGUACCUGAAGAAUAAGCACCGGCUAACUACGUGCCAGCCGCCGCAGUAA
Molecule: ribosomal RNA, 500 nt
Filed under: uncultured bacterium
Lineage: Bacteria
Description: partial 16S ribosomal RNA
Rfam family: Bacterial small subunit ribosomal RNA
Source: RNAcentral